AUUGAACGCUGGCGGCAUGCUUUACACAUGCAAGUCGAACGGUAACAGGUUAAGCUGACGAGUGGCGAACGGGUGAGUAAUGCAUCGGAACGUGCCCAGUCGUGGGGGAUAACGCAGCGAAAGCUGUGCUAAUACCGCAUACGAUCUAUGGAUGAAAGCGGGGGACCGUAAGGCCUCGCGCGAUUGGAGCGGCCGAUGUCAGAUUAGCUAGUUGGUGGGGUAAAGGCCCACCAAGGCGACGAUCUGUAGCUGGUCUGAGAGGACGACCAGCCACACUGGAACUGAGACACGGUCCAGACUCCUACGGGAGGCAGCAGUGGGGAAUUUUGGACAAUGGGCGCAAGCCUGAUCCAGCAAUGCCGCGUGCAGGAAGAAGGCCUUCGGGUUGUAAACUGCUUUGUUACGGAACGAAAAGGACUCUGGCUAAUACCCGACGGCUCAUGACGGUACCGUAAGAAUAAG
RNAcentral lists this ribosomal RNA (462 nucleotides) under uncultured bacterium. Its description in RNAcentral is "bacterial SSU rRNA". It matches the Rfam family "Bacterial small subunit ribosomal RNA", at positions 30 to 490 of the family's 1533-position model. The record is from RNAcentral.